Otolemur garnettii (small-eared galago) is the source of this 103-nucleotide small nuclear RNA. Lineage: Eukaryota; Metazoa; Chordata; Mammalia; Primates; Galagidae. The record is from Ensembl.
GUGCUCACUUCGGCAGCACAUAUACUAACAUUCCAACAAUAUGAAGAAGAUUAGCAUAGCUCCUGCACAAGACAUGCACAUUUGUGAAGCAGUCCUUAUUUUU